GCCCAUACUAAUAUGCAUUGAAAAUUAUUUUAAUUAAUUUAAUUAAUUUAGACUCUGACUAAAAAUAAAUCUCUAAUAAAAUGAUAAAGGCAUAUUUGAUGAUUAUUGUGAUAUGAUUAACCUCUACAUAAUCAUCGUGGAUAACAUCUAUCUUUUAGUCUUUGCGACUGAUUUAUAUACUGCUUCUAGAAUAUCUCUAUGGACUUAGUCUC
Molecule: long non-coding RNA, 212 nt
Filed under: Elaeis guineensis (African oil palm)
Lineage: Eukaryota; Viridiplantae; Streptophyta; Magnoliopsida; Arecales; Arecaceae
Description: long non-coding RNA (EGUI_LNC005421)
Source: RNAcentral